RNAcentral lists this small nuclear RNA (19 nucleotides) under Arabidopsis thaliana (thale cress). RNAcentral describes it as "snRNA_08839". Lineage: Eukaryota; Viridiplantae; Streptophyta; Magnoliopsida; Brassicales; Brassicaceae. The record is from RNAcentral.
CCUCAUUUCCAAAGCACAC